ACACAUGCAAGUCGAGCGGGGUUUUCGGACCUAGCGGCGGACGGGUGAGUAAUGCGUAGGAAGCUGCCCGAUAGAGGGGGAUACCAGUUGGAAACGACUGUUAAUACCGCAUAAUGUCUACGGACCAAAGUGUGGGACCUUCGGGCCACAUGCUAUCGGAUGCGCCUACGUGGGAUUAGCUAGUUGGUGAGGUAAUGGCUCACCAAGGCGACGAUCUCUAGCUGGUUUGAGAGGAUGAUCAGCCACACUGGAACUGAGACACGGUCCAGACUCCUACGGGAGGCAGCAGUGGGGAAUAUUGGACAAUGGGCGCAAGCCUGAUCCAGCCAUGCCGCGUGUGUGAAGAAGGCCUUCGGGUUGUAAAGCACUUUCAGCGAGGAGGAAGGGUGGUGUGUUAAUAGCACAUCAUUUUGACGUUACUCGCAGAAGAAGCACCGGCUAACUCUGUGCCAGCAGCCGCGGUAAUACAGAGGGUGCAAGCGUUAAUCGGAAUUACUGGGCGUAAAGCGCACGUAGGCGGUUUUUUAAGUCAGAUGUGAAAGCCCCGGGCUCAACCUGGGAAUUGCAUUUGAAACUGGAAAACUAGAGUGUGUGAGAGGGGGGGUAGAAUUCCAAGUGUAGCGGUGAAAUGCGUAGAGAUUUGGAGGAAUACCAGUGGCGAAAGCGGCCCCCUGGCACAACACUGACGCUCAGUGCGAAAGCGUGGGGAGCAAACAGAUUAGAUACCCUGGUAGUCCACGCCGUAAACGAUGUCUACUAGCUGUU
Molecule: ribosomal RNA, 765 nt
Filed under: uncultured bacterium
Lineage: Bacteria
Description: bacterial SSU rRNA
Rfam family: Bacterial small subunit ribosomal RNA
Source: RNAcentral